This 336-nucleotide unclassified non-coding RNA is filed under the name soil metagenome. RNAcentral's name for it is "partial contains 5.8S ribosomal RNA, internal transcribed spacer 2, and large subunit ribosomal RNA". The stretch from base 1 to 120 matches the Rfam family "5.8S ribosomal RNA", at positions 35 to 154 of the family's 154-position model. The record is from RNAcentral.
GAUGAAGAACGUAGCGAAAUGCGAUAAGUAAUGUGAAUUGCAGAAUUCAGUGAAUCAUCGAAUCUUUGAACGCACAUUGCGCCCGCCAGUAUUCUGGCGGGCAUGCCUGUUCGAGCGUCAUUUCAACCAUCAAGCCCCAGGCUUGUGUUGGGGACCUGCGGCUGCCGCAGGCCCUGAAAACCAGUGGCGGGCUCGCUGUCACACCGGGCGUAGUAGAUUUUAUCUCGCUCAGGGCGUGCUGCGGGUUCGGGCCGUUAAAAAGCCUUUUUUACCCAAGGUUGACCUCGGAUCAGGUAGGAAUACCCGCUGAACUUAAGCAUAUCAAUAAGCGGAGGA